RNAcentral lists this ribosomal RNA (309 nucleotides) under uncultured bacterium. RNAcentral describes it as "partial 16S ribosomal RNA". It matches the Rfam family "Bacterial small subunit ribosomal RNA", at positions 504 to 809 of the family's 1533-position model. The record is from RNAcentral.
AGAAACAGCAGUCGCCGCGGUAAUACGUAGGUGGCAAGCGUUGUCCGGAAUUAUUGGGCGUAAAGCGCGCGCAGGCGGAUCAGUUAGUCUGUCUUAAAAGUUCGGGGCUUAACCCCGUGAUGGGAUGGAAACUGCUGAUCUAGAGUAUCGGAGAGGAAAGUGGAAUUCCUAGUGUAGCGGUGAAAUGCGUAGAUAUUAGGAAGAACACCAGUGGCGAAGGCGACUUUCUGGGCGAAAACUGACGCUGAGGCGCGAAAGCCAGGGGAGCGAACGGGAUUAGAUACCCGUGUAGUCCCUGUCUCUUAUACA